Molecule: transfer RNA, 77 nt
Filed under: Bacteroidota bacterium
Lineage: Bacteria; Pseudomonadati; Bacteroidota
Description: tRNA-Pro
Rfam family: tRNA
About the family: Transfer RNA (tRNA) molecules are approximately 80 nucleotides in length. Their secondary structure includes four short double-helical elements and three loops (D, anti-codon, and T loops).
Source: RNAcentral
CGGGAUGUAGCGCAGCCUGGUAGCGUGCGUCGUUCGGGACGACGAGGUCGCAGGUUCGAAUCCUGUCAUCCCGACCA